UAACGCGUGAGGAACCUGCCUCAAAGAGGGGGACAACAGUUGGAAACGACUGCUAAUACCGCAUAAGCCCACCGGUGCCGCAUGGCACAGAGGGAAAAGGAAGCAAUCCGCUUUGAGAUGGCCUCGCGUCCGAUUAGCUAGUUGGUGAGGUAAUGGCCCACCAAGGCGACGAUCGGUAGCCGGACUGAGAGGUUGAACGGCCACAUUGGGACUGAGACACGGCCCAG
Molecule: ribosomal RNA, 227 nt
Filed under: uncultured bacterium
Lineage: Bacteria
Description: partial 16S ribosomal RNA
Rfam family: Bacterial small subunit ribosomal RNA
Source: RNAcentral